Molecule: transfer RNA, 85 nt
Filed under: Ilyobacter polytropus DSM 2926
Lineage: Bacteria; Fusobacteriati; Fusobacteriota; Fusobacteriia; Fusobacteriales; Fusobacteriaceae
Rfam family: tRNA
About the family: Transfer RNA (tRNA) molecules are approximately 80 nucleotides in length.
Source: Rfam by way of RNAcentral
GCCUGGGUGGCGGAACUGGUAGACGCACAGGACUUAAAAUCCUGUGACCUCUAGGGUCGUGCGGGUUCGAUUCCCGCCCCAGGCA